GUUAUGUGAAACUUCCCCAGGAGCAUUGUUCAAAUACUUUGGAGGCACAGAAUCAGCCCAGAGCCAGUCCACAUCCUCAGGCUCAACUGUGAGUGAUGAAUCAGGUCCAUCUCCAUCCUCUACAGUGCUCUCUCACACACCUCCACCCUCUGUGCCCACUGUCCCCUCCAUGUCUGAAACCACAGCUGAUUUAUCUACAACUUCCACCACAACGUCCCC
This is a non-coding RNA of Nerophis lumbriciformis (worm pipefish), 219 nucleotides long. The record is from RefSeq and is a predicted model, not a curated record. Lineage: Eukaryota; Metazoa; Chordata; Actinopteri; Syngnathiformes; Syngnathidae.